UACGUAGGGAGCAAGCGUUGUCCGGAAUCAUUGGGCGUAAAGCGCGCGUAGGUGGCCACAUAAGUCCGUUGUGAAAGUCAAAGGCUCAACCUUUGAAAGCCGAUGGAUACUGUGUGGCUAGAGUACGGAAGAGGCGAGUGGAAUUCCUGGUGUAGCGGUGGAAUGCGCAGAUAUCAGGAGGAACACCAAUAGCGAAGGCAGCUCACUGGGACGGUACUGACGCUGAGACGCGAAAGCGUGGGGAGCAAACAGG
Molecule: ribosomal RNA, 253 nt
Filed under: uncultured bacterium
Lineage: Bacteria
Description: partial 16S ribosomal RNA
Rfam family: Bacterial small subunit ribosomal RNA
Source: RNAcentral